GAUGAACGCUGGCGGCGUGCCUAAUACAUGCAAGUCGAGCGAACGGACGAGAAGCUUGCUUCUCUGAUGUUAGCGGCGGACGGGUGAGUAACACGUGGAUAACCUACCUAUAAGACUGGGAUAACUUCGGGAAACCGUAGCUAAUACCGGAUAAUAUUUUGAACCGCAUGGUUCAAAAGUGAAAGACGGUCUUGCUGUCACUUAUAGAUGGAUCCGCGCUGCAUUAGCUAGUUGGUAAGGUAACGGCUUACCAAGGCAACGAUGCAUAGCGGACCUGAGAGGAUGGUCGGCCACACUGGAACUGAGAAACGGUCCAGACACCGACGGGAGGCAGCAGUGGGGAAUAUUGGAAAAUGGGGGGAAGCCUGAUCCAGCAGUACCGCGUGGGUGAAGAAGGCAUUCGGGUUGUAAAGCCCUUUUGUUGGGAAAGAAAAGCAGCAGGUUAAUACCCCGCUGUUCUGACGGUACCCAAAGAAUAAGCCCCGGCUAACUUCGUG
This 497-nucleotide ribosomal RNA is filed under the name uncultured bacterium. RNAcentral's name for it is "partial 16S ribosomal RNA". It matches the Rfam family "Bacterial small subunit ribosomal RNA", at positions 28 to 507 of the family's 1533-position model. The record is from RNAcentral.